GAUGAACGCUGGCGGCGUGCCUAAUACAUGCAAGUCGAGCGAACAGACGAGGAGCUUGCUCCUCUGACGUUAGCGGCGGACGGGUGAGUAACACGUGGAUAACCUACCUAUAAGACUGGGAUAACUUCGGGAAACCGGAGCUAAUACCGGAUAACAUGUUGAACCGCAUGGUUCAACAGUGAAAGACGGUCUUGCUGUCACUUAUAGAUGGAUCCGCGCCGCAUUAGCUAGUUGGUAAGGUAACGGCUUACCAAGGCAACGAUGCGUAGCCGACCUGAGAGGGUGAUCGGCCACACUGGAACUGAGACACGGUCCAGACUCCUACGGGAGGCAGCAGUAGGGAAUCUUCCGCAAAGGGCGAAAGCCUGACGGAGCAACGCCGCGUGAGUGAAGAAGGUCUUCGGAUCGUAAAACUCUGUUAUUAGGGAAGAACAAAUGUGUAAGUAACUAUGCACGUCUUGACGGUACCUAAUCAGAAAGCCACGGCUAGCUACGUG
Molecule: ribosomal RNA, 497 nt
Filed under: uncultured bacterium
Lineage: Bacteria
Description: partial 16S ribosomal RNA
Rfam family: Bacterial small subunit ribosomal RNA
Source: RNAcentral